AGGCUUANACAUGGCAAGGUCGAGGGGCAGCAUGGUCUUAGCUUGCUAAGGCCGAUGGCGACGGCGCACGGGUGAGUAACACGUAUCCAACCUGCCGUCUACUCUUGGACAGCCUUCUGGAAAAGGAAGAUUAAUACAAGAUGGCAUCAUGAGUCCACAUGUUCACAUGAUUAAAGGUAUUCCGGUAGACGAUGGGGAUGCGUUCCAUUAGAUAGUAGGCGGGGUAACGGCCCACCUAGUCUUCGAUGGAUAGGGGUUCUGAGAGGAAGGUCCCCCACAUUGGAGCUGAGACACGGUCCAAACUCCUACGGGAGGCAGCAGUGAGGAAUAUUGGUCAAUGGGCGCAGGCCUGAACCAGCCAAGUAGCGUGAAGGAUGACUGCCCUAUGGGUUGUAAACUUCUUUUAUAAAGGAAUAAAGUCGGGUAUGGAUACCCGUUUGCAUGUACUUUAUGAAUAAGGAUCGGCUAACUCCGUG
Molecule: ribosomal RNA, 476 nt
Filed under: uncultured bacterium
Lineage: Bacteria
Description: bacterial SSU rRNA
Rfam family: Bacterial small subunit ribosomal RNA
Source: RNAcentral